GGGCUCCGGGCGGCCGUGACCCUGCUGGAGUGCGGGGGGGACCUCCAGCCCCCCGGGGGGUCCCUGCGCCUCCUCUGCCGAGGGGCCGGGUUCAGUUUCGGCAGUUUCACCAUGUACUGGGUGCGCCAGAGACCUGGGCAGGGGCUGGAGUGGCUCGCAGGGAUCUACAGCAGUGGUUCCAGCACCUACUACGCGCCGUCGGUCAAGGGCCGGUUCACGAUCUCCAGGGACAACGGGCAGAGCUCGGUGACGCUGACCAUGAACAGCCUCAAGGACGAGGAUUCCGGAUCCUAUUUCUGUGCCAAGGAUGCUUAUGCUGCUGCUGGUGGUCGUGCUGAAUAUAUUGAAGAGCGCCGUGGUGGAUCCAUCCCCAUCUCAGUGUCCCCUCCUGUCCCCAAAGCCCCAGACUCUUUUUCCAAAUCUCAGCCCUUGACCCCAUUCUUGACCGCCCCAAACCCCGACUGGUUCCGCCCCAAACCCAACUGA
This is a non-coding RNA of Melospiza melodia melodia, 486 nucleotides long. Lineage: Eukaryota; Metazoa; Chordata; Aves; Passeriformes; Passerellidae. The record is from the annotation of a RefSeq genome assembly.